AAGCAGUGAAGAUCUAAAACAGAACUACUGAAGAAACACCAGCCUUCAGAUUUUCAUCAUACAGCCAUCAAUCCAGCAUGAAGCUGAGUCUUUUUCUUGUUGUGUCUCGCAGUUUUCUUCAUCUUUCUGGUCUGGUCCCAGCUGCUGUAUCCAUUGUGCUAACCGUCCCUCACAGAUAUGAACUGAUAACGACAUUUGAAACAUGGCCUGUUGCACAGAAUUACUGCAAGAAGAACUACACUGACCUGGGAAUAAUCCUAAGUGAUACCGAUUGGCUAAGAUUGAAUAAAGUAACAAAA
Clarias gariepinus (North African catfish) is the source of this 299-nucleotide long non-coding RNA. RefSeq lists it as uncharacterized. NCBI's taxonomy places the organism in Eukaryota, Metazoa, Chordata, Actinopteri, Siluriformes, Clariidae. The record is from RefSeq and is a predicted model, not a curated record. The transcript is spliced from 3 exons.